CCUACGGGAGGCUGCAGUGGGGAAUAUUGGGCAAUGGGCGCAAGCCUGACCCAGCAACGCCGCGUGAAGGAAGAAGGCUUUCGGGUUGUAAACUUCUUUUGACAGGGAAGAGCAGAAGACGGUACCUGUCGAAUACGCCACGGCUAACUACGUGCCAGCAGCCGCGGUAAUACGUAGGUGGCAAGCGUUGUCCGGAUUUACUGGGGGUAAAGGGCGUGUAGCCGGGGUGACAAGUCAGAUGUGAAAUCCGGGGGCUCAACCCCCGAACUGCAUUUGAAACUGUUGGUCUUGAGUAUCGGAGAGGCAGGCGGAAUUCCUAGUGUAGCGGUGAAAUGCGUAGAUAUUAGGAGGAACACCAGUGGCGAAGGCGGCCUGCUGGACGAAAACUGACGGUGAGGCGCGAAAGCGUGGGGAGCAAACAGGAUUAGAUACCCGAGUAGUC
This 442-nucleotide ribosomal RNA is filed under the name uncultured bacterium. RNAcentral describes it as "partial 16S ribosomal RNA". It matches the Rfam family "Bacterial small subunit ribosomal RNA", at positions 338 to 795 of the family's 1533-position model. The record is from RNAcentral.